GAGAGAAAGAGAGAGAGAGAGAGAAAGAGAGUGCGUGCGAAAGAGAAGCCACUGAAGUUCAUGUUCUAACUCUUCUUCUUCUUUUUUGUUUUUUGUUUUAUUUAU
This 105-nucleotide non-coding RNA is filed under the name Chloropicon mariensis. The record is from RNAcentral. Lineage: Eukaryota; Viridiplantae; Chlorophyta; Chloropicophyceae; Chloropicales; Chloropicaceae.